This 509-nucleotide ribosomal RNA is filed under the name uncultured bacterium. RNAcentral describes it as "bacterial SSU rRNA". It matches the Rfam family "Bacterial small subunit ribosomal RNA", at positions 28 to 531 of the family's 1533-position model. The record is from RNAcentral.
GACGAACGCUGGCGGCGUGCCUAACACAUGCAAGUCGAGCGGAGUCGAUCGACGGAAGCCUUCGGGCGGAAGAUGGUUGACUUAGCGGCGGAUGGGUGAGUAACGCGUGGGCAACCUGCCUCGAAGACCGGGAUAACAGCCCGAAAGGGCUGCUAAUACCGGAUGUGGUCAAGGAUCCGCAUGGAUUUUUGAUUAAAGGGGAAACCCGUUUCGAGAUGGGCCCGCGUCCUAUCAGCUAGUUGGUGAGGUAAAAGCUCACCAAGGCGACGACGGGUAGCCGGCCUGAGAGGGUGACCGGCCACACUGGAACUGAGACACGGUCCAGACUCCUACGGGGGCAGCAGUGGGGAAUCUUCCACAAUGGGCGAAAGCCUGAUGGAGCGACGCCGCGUGAGCGAAGAAGGCCUUCGGGUUGUAAAGCUCUGUCUGGAGGGACGAAGGAAGUGACGGUACCUCCGGAGGAAGCCACGGCUAACUACGUGCCAGCAGCCGCGGUAAGGCUACGUAGA